CAGCCGCCGCGGUAAUACGAAGGGGGCUAGCGUUGUUCGGAUUUACUGGGCGUAAAGCGCACGUAGGCGGAUCGAUCAGUCAGGGGUGAAAUCCCAGAGCUCAACUCUGGAACUGCCUUUGAUACUGUCGAUCUGGAGUAUGGAAGAGGUGAGUGGAAUUCCGAGUGUAGAGGUGAAAUUCGUAGAUAUUCGGAGGAACACCAGUGGCGAAGGCGGUUCAUUGGUCCAUUACUGACGCUGAGGUGCGAAAGCGUGGGGAGCAAACAGGAUUAGAUACCCCUGUAGUCCCUGUCUCUUAUAC
This 301-nucleotide ribosomal RNA is filed under the name uncultured bacterium. RNAcentral's name for it is "partial 16S ribosomal RNA". It matches the Rfam family "Bacterial small subunit ribosomal RNA", at positions 509 to 807 of the family's 1533-position model. The record is from RNAcentral.